GGUUCGAUCCCGCUUAGCUCCACCAAGAGCGCUUGCAUGGCAUGCAAGAGGUCAGCGGUUCGAUCCCGCUUAGCUCCACCA
Molecule: transfer RNA, 81 nt
Filed under: Salmonella enterica subsp. enterica serovar Heidelberg
Lineage: Bacteria; Pseudomonadati; Pseudomonadota; Gammaproteobacteria; Enterobacterales; Enterobacteriaceae
Description: tRNA-Ala
Source: RNAcentral